AUGAACGCUAGCGGCAGGCUUAACACAUGCAAGUCGAACGGCAGCACAGGUAGCAAUACUGGGUGGCGAGUGGCGCACGGGUGCGUAACGCGUAUGCAACCUACCUCUAUCUGGGAGAUAGCCCGAAGAAAUUCGGAUUAAUACCCCAUAAUAUAUGUCUUUCGCAUGUUAGACAUAUUAAAGCUUUGGCGGAUAGAGAUGGGCAUGCGUGACAUUAGCUAGUUGGUAAGGUAACGGCUUACCAAGGCUACGAUGUCUAGGGGGUCUGAGAGGAUUAUCCCCCACACUGGUACUGAGACACGGACCAGACUCCUACGGGAGGCAGCAGUGAGGAAUAUUGGACAAUGGGCGAAAGCCUGAUCCCAGCCAUGCCGCGUGCAGGAAGACGGCCCUAAGGGUUGUAAACUGCUUUUAUAUGGGAAUAAACCUCCGAACGUGUUCGGAGCUGAAGGUACCAUACGAAUAAGGAUCGGCUAACUCCGUG
Molecule: ribosomal RNA, 484 nt
Filed under: uncultured bacterium
Lineage: Bacteria
Description: bacterial SSU rRNA
Rfam family: Bacterial small subunit ribosomal RNA
Source: RNAcentral